Elaeis guineensis (African oil palm) is the source of this 1152-nucleotide non-coding RNA. NCBI's taxonomy places the organism in Eukaryota, Viridiplantae, Streptophyta, Magnoliopsida, Arecales, Arecaceae. The record is from RefSeq and is a predicted model, not a curated record.
CCAACGACAGCGUCGUCUUUUCGUCGGAAGACUUCGAUCGAUACGGAAGCAAGAAAAGAAGACUCCUCUCCUUCGCCUCUCCUUCUGUUCUUUCGAUCCCCAAUCCCUCGUUCUCGUCUGCUCCUUCUCCUCUCUCCCUCGAAUUCGAAUUCGAAGGCCAGACCAUUCCCUCGAUCGCUUUUCUCAUGGCCACCAUUGGCAACAACAACAUCAAUGCCAAGCUCGUACUGCUUGGAGAUAUGGGUGCCGGCAAGUCGAGUCUCGUUCUCCGAUUCGUCAAGGGGCAAUUCUUCGAAUUCCAGGAGUCGACGAUUGGGGCCGCGUUCUUCGCCCAGACGCUGGCGUUGAAUGAUGCCACGGUGAAGUUCGAGAUUUGGGACACGGCAGGGCAGGAGAGGUAUCAUAGCUUGGCUCCCAUGUACUACAGGGGUGCCGCUGCGGCCAUCAUCGUGUAUGACAUAACCAGCACCGAGUCUUUUGAGCGAGCUAAGAAGUGGGUGCAGGAGCUACAGAAACAAGGUAAUCCAAACAUGGUGACAGCUCUAGCAGGCAAUAAAGCUGAUUUGGAAGAUAAGAGGAGGGUAACAACUGAGGAAGCACGGACAUAUGCUGAGGAGAAUGGCCUCUUCUUUAUGGAAACCUCUGCUAAAACUGCGAUAAAUGUGAAUGACAUAUUCUAUGAAAUUGCAAGACGGUUACCCUGUGCUCAACCGGCUCAGAAUCCAACAGGAAUGGUUCUUACAGACAGACCUGCUGAGCGCUUGCAGAUUUCAUCAUGCUGUGCUUAGGAUAUCUUGGUUGAAAUGAGUGCGACUUAACUAGCACUGGAUGAUUCAGUUAUCUUAAACAUAUUCAGCUGUCCCUUAUCUGAACACUUGUUAAAGUUGAAAAACUUGGGGGCUUCUGGAAGUGCAACACAGUGAAGUCAAUGAGUUGAAGAUAUAGAACCGUUCAGAUUGUCCUGCCACCUGUAUUUGGGGAGGCUGUCGUUCCUGUUUCAUAUUUCUCCUGUUUCUAAAUCUUGUAAACAAAAAAUAUCAUGUGACCUUCACCCAAGCUUCAGAGCAAGAUGCGGUAGUUUCUUUGAACAAGCAUUCUUUAACCUAUGUUAGCUUUCUGUGAUACGUGCUUGGAGAAAUAAAUGGAUAUGCU